Molecule: non-coding RNA, 63 nt
Organism: Macrostomum lignano
Lineage: Eukaryota; Metazoa; Platyhelminthes; Macrostomidae
Source: Rfam
AGGGUUGUAGCCUAGUGGUUAGGGCAUCAGACUCACAACUUGAAGGUUAAGGAUUCAAUUCUU